Molecule: ribosomal RNA, 443 nt
Filed under: uncultured bacterium
Lineage: Bacteria
Description: partial 16S ribosomal RNA
Rfam family: Bacterial small subunit ribosomal RNA
Source: RNAcentral
CCUACGGGAGGCAGCAGUGGGGAAUAUUGGACAAUGGGGGGAACCCUGAUCCAGCGACGCCGCGUGAGUGAAGAAGUCUUUCGGUUUGUAAAGCUCUUUUCUCAGGGACGAAAGAAAUGACGGUACCUGACUAAGAAGCCCCGGCUAACUACGUGCCAGCAGCCGCGGUAAUACGUAGGGGGCAAGCGUUAUCCGGAUUUACUGGGUGUAAAGGGAGCGUAGACGGCGAUGCAAGUCUGAAGUGAAAGGCGGGGGCCCAACCUCCGGACUGCGUUGGAAACUGUAUGGCUUGAGUGCAGGAGAGGUAAGUGGAAUUCGUAGUGGAGCGGUGAAAUGCGUAGAGAGUAGGAGGAACACCAGUGGCGAAGGCGGCUUACUGGACUGUAACUGACGUUGAGGCUCGAAAGCGUGGGGAGCAAACAGGAUUAGAUACCCGUGGAGUC